UACGGAGGGUGCAAGCAUUAAUCGGAUUUAUUGGGCGUAAAGGGCGCGUAGGCGGUAAUAUAAGUCAAAUGUGAAAUCCUGGGGCUCAACCCCAGAACAGCAUAUGAAACUGUAUUUCUAGAGGAUAGGCGGAGAAAACGGAAUUCCACAAGUAGCGGUGAAAUGCGUAGAUAUGUGGAAGAACACCGGUGGCGAAGGCGGUUUUCUAGCUUAGACCUGACGCUGAGGCGCGAAAGCAAGGGGAGCAAACAGG
This 253-nucleotide ribosomal RNA is filed under the name uncultured bacterium. RNAcentral's name for it is "partial 16S ribosomal RNA". It matches the Rfam family "Bacterial small subunit ribosomal RNA", at positions 524 to 776 of the family's 1533-position model. The record is from RNAcentral.